This 490-nucleotide ribosomal RNA is filed under the name uncultured bacterium. RNAcentral describes it as "partial 16S ribosomal RNA". It matches the Rfam family "Bacterial small subunit ribosomal RNA", at positions 30 to 507 of the family's 1533-position model. The record is from RNAcentral.
AUUGAACGCUGGCGGCAGGCCUAACACAUGCAAGUCGAACGGUAACAGGAAGAAGCUUGCUUCUUUGCUGACGAGUGGCGGACGGGUGAGUAAUGUCUGGGAAACUGCCUGAUGGAGGGGGAUAACUACUGGAAACGGUAGCUAAUACCGCAUAACGUCGCAAGACCAAAAAGGGGGACCUUCGGGCCUCUUGCCAUCGGAUAUGCCCAGAUGGGAUUAGCUAGUAGGUGGGGUAACGGCUCACCUAGGCGACGAUCCCUAGCUGGUCUGAGAGGAUGUCAAGCCACACUGGAACUGAGACACGGUCCAGACUCCGACGGGAGGCAGCAGUGGGGAAUAUUGCACAAGGGGCGCAAGCCUGAUGCAGCCAUGCCGCGUGUAUGAAGAAGGCCUUCGGGUUGUAAAGUACUUUCAGCGGGGAGGAAGGGAGUAAAGUUAAUACCUUUGCUCAUUGACGUUACCCGCAGAAGAAGCACCGGCUAACUCCGUG